RNAcentral lists this ribosomal RNA (429 nucleotides) under uncultured bacterium. RNAcentral's name for it is "bacterial SSU rRNA". It matches the Rfam family "Bacterial small subunit ribosomal RNA", at positions 355 to 776 of the family's 1533-position model. The record is from RNAcentral.
UGGGGAAUAUUGGACAAUGGGCGGAAGCCUGAUCCAGCAAUGCCGCGUGUGUGAAGAAGGCCUGAGGGUUGUAAAGCACUUUCAGUGGGGAGAAAGAGGCUAUCGCUAAUAUCGAUAGUGGAUGAUGUUACCCACAGAAGAAGCACCGGCUAACUCUGUGCCAGCAGCCGCGGUAAUACAGAGGGUGCGAGCGUUAAUCGGAAUUACUGGGCGUAAAGGGUGCGUAGGUGGUUUUGUAAGUUAGAUGUGAAAUUCCUGGGCUUAACCUGGGGACUGCGUCUGAUACUGCGAAGCUAGAGUACUGUAGAGGGAAGUGGAAUUUCCGGUGUAGCAGUGAAAUGCGUAGAUAUCGGAAGGAACAUCAGUGGCGAAGGCGACUUCCUGGACAGAUACUGACACUGAGGCACGAAAGCGUGGGGAGCAAACAGG